This 22-nucleotide microRNA is filed under the name Bos taurus (domestic cattle). RNAcentral's name for it is "bta-miR-11986c". Lineage: Eukaryota; Metazoa; Chordata; Mammalia; Artiodactyla; Bovidae. The record is from miRBase by way of RNAcentral.
GAACUGAGUCCUUUGGAAAAGA